UGUUAAAAAUCUCAUCUAUUUGUAUAGUUAAAAAUUGGAGUGAUUGAUGGAAUAACAAGACAAUAAUAUGUGAUGUGCCGUGUGUAUCUCAUACUAACGUAUAGGAACCAAUUUUCAACAACAGAAAUUAAUGAAAUUUUUAACA
MicroRNA precursor from Gossypium arboreum, 145 nucleotides. It matches the Rfam family "MIR7502 microRNA precursor family". Lineage: Eukaryota; Viridiplantae; Streptophyta; Magnoliopsida; Malvales; Malvaceae. The record is from Rfam.